This 290-nucleotide unclassified non-coding RNA is filed under the name Hevea brasiliensis (rubber tree). The record is from RNAcentral. Lineage: Eukaryota; Viridiplantae; Streptophyta; Magnoliopsida; Malpighiales; Euphorbiaceae.
GUGAGACCUUUCAACUGGAUUGGACCCAGGAUGGACUUCAUUCCUGGCAUUGAUGGCCCAAGUGAGGGUGUUCCGAGGGUUCUGGCAUGCUUUAGCAAUGCUCUUUUACGCCGAGAGCCUCUCAAGCUUGUGGAUGGUGGUCAAUCUCAGAGAACUUUCGUUUAUAUCAAGGAUGCAAUUGAAGCUGUUCUCUUGAUGAUCGAAAAUCCUGCCAGGGCUAAUGGUCACAUUUUUAAUGUGGGAAACCCGCACAAUGAAGUUACUGUUAGGCAGCUUGCUGAAAUGAUGAC